This 410-nucleotide unclassified non-coding RNA is filed under the name Corethrogyne filaginifolia. RNAcentral describes it as "partial external transcribed spacer". The record is from RNAcentral. Lineage: Eukaryota; Viridiplantae; Streptophyta; Magnoliopsida; Asterales; Asteraceae.
UUGGUUUGAUACGGGUGGUCGGCUCCCUGCUUGAGCAGGCACGGCCACGCGUGCAUUCCUUUUCAGAUGUGCGGCAAGRCUUGUAUGGUCUUGAUCGUAUAAGUGGGUUUCCUGUGUUGAAUACCUGAUCAACGGCAUCGUUUCGAUCAAAAGCGUACCUUUUUCGUCUAGUGUUGCACCCGCACCAUUGGAUGAACCGUGUAGCAUUCUCUUUGAUCCAUACAAUUGACAUUCAUUGUUAGUUGUUUGGCCCAUUGAGCGUGUCUUGGUCCCUUGAAUAUGGAAGCCAAAGUGGGCACGGGAUCGCAAGAUCCGUUUAGUGCCCUAAUUGAGCGUUUUCGCUUCUCUUACACGACUGCCUCUCACGUAUGGCACGUCCCAGCGUGUUUGGCUAUGUCGAAGAGGAAUGU